GAUGAAGAACGUAGCGAAAUGCGAUAAGUAGUGUGAAUUGCAGAAUUCAGUGAAUCAUCGAAUCUUUGAACGCACAUUGCGCCCCUUGGUAUUCCAUGGGGCAUGCCUGUUCGAGCGUCAUUUGUACCCUCAAGCUUUGCUUGGUGUUGGGUGUUUGUCCCGCGUUGCGCGUGGACUCGCCUUAAAGCGAUUGGGAGCCGGCAUAUUGGCCUUGGAGCGCAGCACAUUUUGCGCUUCUAGUCAUGAAUGUUGGCGUCCAUUAAGCCUAUACAUUUGCUCUUGACCUCGGAUCAGGUAGGGAUACCCGCUGAACUUAAGCAUAUCAAUAAGCGGAGGA
This 337-nucleotide unclassified non-coding RNA is filed under the name soil metagenome. Its description in RNAcentral is "partial contains 5.8S ribosomal RNA, internal transcribed spacer 2, and large subunit ribosomal RNA". The stretch from base 1 to 120 matches the Rfam family "5.8S ribosomal RNA", at positions 35 to 154 of the family's 154-position model. The record is from RNAcentral.